GGCGUGCCUAAUACAUGCAAGUCGAGCGGACAGAUGGGAGCUUGCUCCCUGAUGUUAGCGGCGGACGGGUGAGUAACACGUGGGUAACCUGCCUGUAAGACUGGGAUAACUCCGGGAAACCGGGGCUAAUACCGGAUGCUUGUUUGAACCGCAUGGUUCAAACAUAAAAGGUGGCUUCGGCUACCACUUACAGAUGGACCCGCGGCGCAUUAGCUAGUUGGUGAGGUAAUGGCUCACCAAGGCAACGAUGCGUAGCCGACCUGAGAGGGUGAUCGGCCACACUGGGACUGAGACACGGCCCAGACUCCUACGGGAGGCAGCAGUAGGGAAUCUUCCGCAAUGGACGAAAGUCUGACGGAGCAACGCCGCGUGAGUGAUGAAGGUUUUCGGAUCGUAAAGCUCUGUUGUUAGGGAAGAACAAGUACCGUUCGAAUAGGGCGGUACCUUGACGGUACCUAACCAGAAAGCCACGGCUAACUACGUGCCAGCAGCCGCGGUAAUACGUAGGUGGCAAGCGUUGUCCGGAAUUAUUGGGCGUAAAGGGCUCGCAGGCGGUUUCUUAAGUCUGAUGUGAAAGCCCCCGGCUCAACCGGGGAGGGUCAUUGGAAACUGGGGAACUUGAGUGCAGAAGAGGAGAGUGGAAUUCCACGUGUAGCGGUGAAAUGCGUAGAGAUGUGGAGGAACACCAGUGGCGAAGG
RNAcentral lists this ribosomal RNA (698 nucleotides) under Bacillus sp. (in: firmicutes). RNAcentral describes it as "bacterial SSU rRNA". It matches the Rfam family "Bacterial small subunit ribosomal RNA", at positions 41 to 721 of the family's 1533-position model. Lineage: Bacteria; Bacillati; Bacillota; Bacilli; Caryophanales; Bacillaceae. The record is from RNAcentral.